Molecule: ribosomal RNA, 528 nt
Filed under: Rahnella sp. IR15
Lineage: Bacteria; Pseudomonadati; Pseudomonadota; Gammaproteobacteria; Enterobacterales; Yersiniaceae
Also listed under: 4 other names
Description: bacterial SSU rRNA
Rfam family: Bacterial small subunit ribosomal RNA
Source: RNAcentral
UGGAGAGUUUGAUCCUGGCUCAGAUUGAACGCUGGCGGCAGGCCUAACACAUGCAAGUCGAGCGGCAGCGGAAAGUAGCUUGCUACUUUGCCGGCGAGCGGCGGACGGGUGAGUAAUGUCUGGGAAACUGCCUGAUGGAGGGGGAUAACUACUGGAAACGGUAGCUAAUACCGCAUGACCUCGAAAGAGCAAAGUGGGGGAUCUUCGGACCUCACGCCAUCGGAUGUGCCCAGAUGGGAUUAGCUAGUAGGUGAGGUAAUGGCUCACCUAGGCGACGAUCCCUAGCUGGUCUGAGAGGAUGACCAGCCACACUGGAACUGAGACACGGUCCAGACUCCUACGGGAGGCAGCAGUGGGGAAUAUUGCACAAUGGGCGCAAGCCUGAUGCAGCCAUGCCGCGUGUGUGAAGAAGGCCUUAGGGUUGUAAAGCACUUUCAGCGAGGAGGAAGGCAYCAUACUUAAUACGUGUGGUGAUUGACGUUACUCGCAGAAGAAGCACCGGCUAACUCCGUGCCAGCAGCCGCGGUA